Molecule: ribosomal RNA, 510 nt
Filed under: uncultured bacterium
Lineage: Bacteria
Description: bacterial SSU rRNA
Rfam family: Bacterial small subunit ribosomal RNA
Source: RNAcentral
AGAGUUUGAUUAUGGCUCAGGAUGAACGCUGGCGGCGUGCCUAACACAUGCAAGUCGAACGGAGCUACUUUGAAGGAGACUUCGGUCAACGGAAGGGUAAGCGUUAGUGGCGGACGGGUGAGUAACGCGUGGAGAACCUGCCCUGUACAGGGGGAUAACAGUGAGAAAUCACUGCUAAUACCGCAUAAGCGCACAGUACCGCAUGGUACAGUGUGAAAAACUCCGGUGGUACAGGAUGGCUCCGCGUUGGAUUAGCCAGUUGCGGGUAACGGCCCACCAAAGCGACGAUCCAUAGCCGGCCUGAGAGGGUGAACGGCCACAUUGGGACUGAGACACGGCCCAGACUCCUACGGGAGGCAGCAGUGGGGAAUAUUGCACAAUGGGGGAAACCCUGAUGCCAGCGACGCCGCGUGAAGGAAGAAGUAUCUCGGUAUGUAAACUUCUAUCAGCAGGGAAGAUGAUGACGGUACCUGACUAAGAAGCCCCGGCUAACUACGUGCCAGCCGCGGC